CCAAAUGCCUCGUCAUCUAAU
RNAcentral lists this non-coding RNA (21 nucleotides) under Arabidopsis thaliana (thale cress). Lineage: Eukaryota; Viridiplantae; Streptophyta; Magnoliopsida; Brassicales; Brassicaceae. The record is from RNAcentral. RNAcentral also lists the same sequence under 2 other names.